RNAcentral lists this unclassified non-coding RNA (3384 nucleotides) under Leishmania donovani. Its description in RNAcentral is "gene:LdHU3.36.2320(CDS-product:hypothetical_prote in_conserved)". The record is from RNAcentral. Lineage: Eukaryota; Euglenozoa; Kinetoplastea; Trypanosomatida; Trypanosomatidae.
CAGACCAAGGACAAGGCUUGAGGCCUUCGCGGGACCCCCAACCACUAUCCAGCAGACGUGCUCGCGCUAUCCUUACUGUAACCACGGAGCCGCGAAUGACUUGAUGUCGUCUUUGGCUGUAGCUGCUUCCCAGCCUCGAGAAAAGAUUCUCGCUAGCAGAGACGGCUCCUCGAAGCGCCAGCAGCUGCGCAAUCGCACCUCAAAUGAGCAAGGCCGUAGCUCUCUUCAUGCCACCGUGACGGCGAUCGCCUCAUCGCCGCGGCCGUCUGAGAUGCCUGCCGCGACCUCGCAACCCGCCUCAGCUAACUCGCGCGCACGCCAAAACUCAAAGAAGGCGCCUCAUCAUGAAUGGAGGAACGCAGGCGCAGCGUCUUCUCGCUCUCACAAAUCGACAAAGACAAAUUCGGUUGCCCGUGGCCGUCAUGGCGCUGCGUCUGCAUUGCCCUCGGCCCGCCGCCACGCCUCCUCUUCCGCCACAGCCUGUGGUGGGCCAGCGAUGCCAACCACCGCUCUGCGACAUUCAGUGCACGCUUCGCGCUCGGUGCGCAGCAUUUCUGAGGAGGUCGCGCUGAAUCGCGUGCAGCGAGCUGCGCGCUGGUUCUUGAUGCACCAGUACCUCCAGCGGACUGUCCCUGUGGUGCCCGUGCUCCUGAGCAUGUCUGGCAACUCGAGCACUGAAGGCGUGCAUGCCGACGCUGCCCCUGUGUUAGAGUCGCGGUUCUUGCGCCGUCUUCGUGCGGAGGUCGACCGCAAAGAGCGGGCUGAGCAACUGCGUAAAGGCACAGCCGCACGGGUCAUACAGCAGGCCCUCCGGCGCUGGUUACAGACGCGCCAGCUUCAUCACCGGCAUCUUUCCAUCCAUAGCAGCGUACGGCCAAGCUACGAGUUCGAUCCCAUUCGCGCCGCCGAGCUGGACGCUGCUCUCUGCUCCAUUCAGGCGUCGCUGCGCAUGUGCGCGAGCAGUCGCCUUGUCGAGGCGCACCGAGUGAAGCUGUUUCAGCAGAUCACCUCUACCGUGCUCGACCCGGCAUGUCCGACAACGUUGCGCUGCACCGCGUCGAUUCGGCACAUUCACGACCGACAACUGCGCGAGGUGCUGUGGCGUCAGGAGGCCGUGGAGCGUCGCGAUCUGCUGCGGCGGCACUUUGUCUUCUUGGUCUGCUGUCACCAGGCCUUCUUUAACGACCCUCGUAUGUGGGAUGCCGGCGUGUCGAUUCGGCGCAUCCCUCUGUACCCGCAUCACGGUCUGUUGUUAACCGAGACGUUGCCCGUGAUCUGGGGUACGAGGACAUCUUCUGCAAGACUGAAUAGCGCCACAGCAGAUUCUGUUGCGCUGCGCGGUGACGCCGUGGCAUCACCGCCGCCACCAGAGUCGUCGCCGUUCUCGGCGACCGCCACCGUCGACGGGUGCAUCAAGGGCUGGGGCUCACCAGCACAACUGGACUCGAGCCUAUUGCAGGCCGUCGGUAGCGGCUGGCUUGUUGGCAAGGAGGAGGAUGGCGGCCGCUUUGACAUCGACGCGGCUCUGCGCCUAGGCGAGUACCGCCUCUUAUUUUCCCCGGAGGAGUGGCGCCUUCUCAAGGAGUUGAAGGCGCCGUCGCUGCACUCUGCCUCGUCCCUCUUCAGCAGCAGCUCCGAUGGGCGACGCGCAGCUCCGGACGCCGCCGGACUGCUGGAGGCUGAGGCGGGUGCGCUUGCCGCGCCUCCAGGCCAGCUGCAGAUGGCGCCGACCGAGGCUGCAGCCAAAGCUGCCUGCUCGCUGAGCUAUGCCAAUGCCUUCGCUUCGGCCUUGACAUUUCUGCGACACCCGCGUAUUGCCGAUCCAAGUGUGCGCUGCACCGUGCAGCAUCUACACGACAUCCGCAGCAGCACCCUGGAAAUGCAACAGGAGCUGCGCGUGCACGGCUUCCUCUUUGCAGCGCAAGUGGCUCCGCUUCUGAACCUCGGGUUCCACUACCAAGGGCUAGCACGAGGGGACGCCGACUUGUCCUGCUUUACCACCACCUCAGCCAUGAAAACGUGCAGACCUCUUGUGGCCGGACGCGUCGCGUGCGCUGCGACCGAGCUGCGUCGAUGCCUUAUUGGAGCGGUACACGACAGCGGCGGUGCGGCGGAAUCAGUGCUGCCUGUGGCGCUGGAGGAGCACAAAUGCAGCCUUAAGGCUGCAGCGCGCACGCCAAGUCAGGUGCUGUCACCAGCGGGUGUUUCGAGGUCAAUGCUGUCACCGCCGCGUGCAGCGCCCUCGGCGGGACUCAUGCGCGACGGCUUCGCGAAUCCUGCAACUGAGGCUCUCUACCAUGCUCCCGCACAGACGACGCGGCGCACUUGUGGCGCUGAUCCUACGUGCGGGUCAUCGCACACGGCUUCACGGCACGGUAGCACGAUAGGCAUUGCCCUCGCUGCGGAGUGGAGUCGGCGGCUGGCCUCCAGCGCAGAUGAGGUCGGCCCCUACUGGUGUGAGUUUCUCUCCUCGACGGGAGUCGAAGCGCUUGUGACCGCUGCUGGCCGGCAGGGCGAGACGCCUGGUGAAGCUGACGCGGCGUACCAGACUGGCGCCUCGUUGCCGUCAUCACCACUGCCGAUGCGGGUGAGACGGGGUCUCGAAUCACACCUUGUUCCUGGCGGCUCGUCCUAUCUCUUGCAGGAUUUCAUGCCAUCGCUAAUGCGACGGCGUGCAUACAGCGGCGCUGGUCCGCAGGCUCUCGAUGCAGCCGCCGGCUCUGUCGGUGUCGCCGUCGCGUGUGCAGGAUCCUCUCCGUCAACUUCGGUGUCUACCUCCACGUGCAGAAUGGUGCAUCCUGGGGAGUGGUGGGAUGCCGCGGAGCGGUUGCUGCUGCGAGAGUACACAAAUCGCAUAGAGCUCUUGACCAACGAGGCUGUGCAGAGAAGCUCCAUCGACGUACUGCGCUGCACGGCUCACCCAUCUGCGGAUGAGUCCGCCGCGGAGGCGUAGAAGACGACGCGCUACAUCCCCCCUCCCCUUCCCCACCCUCAGGCACCGUCCCUCUGCCCCGUAUGCAUUAGUAGCGGGAUCAAAGGGGCGCCGACGGGGAAGCAAAAAGGAACGCAAACAUAUAUACGAUAAGAGCGCAAUCGUCAAUGUACAGCAUCUCUCUUUGUAUGUGUUGUCUCUUUCUCCCCUCCUCCUUGCUCGCUUCCCUUCACCUCUGCGUCCGCACCUCCCGCCAUUGGCUGCAUGGGUAAGCAAGUACCCACCAAUCCACGGAGACCUAGUCACCGGCACAGAGAUCGAGAGGUAGAGGUAGAUAGCGAGAGCGUCCGAUGAAGCGUUGGGGGUCUUCACGAAUUAUACGAUGGCUCACUGAACGCCGUGCGAGUGGCUGUUCUCAAUGUUGGCUUCUAUGGCUGGCAUCACCACCACCC